GUGGAAGUGUGGUAGGAAGCACGUUUAUUAGCAUUUUAUAUAGUGACUAUCUUCCAUAUCGCUUUACAGUUUUACAAAAAGUAUUAACAAGAAAAAUGGCAAAGUGGAUCGUGCACAAACAAAUUUAUUCUAUCUGAAUUGAAAUAAUCUGUUCCAAAUGAUACCAUUUUAUUGCCUUUAACAACCAUAAAAUUGUGAACAAGAUUGGGCCAGGUCUUCUAGUUCCUGGACAGAGAAUUCACAGAUCUGUUACAAGGGCAUUUAAAUUACAGCCAUCUAUAUUUUGUGGCUUUAAGAAGGGGAAAACACAUUUUAAAAUAUUCAAAAUACAAAAAUUACACCAAAAACAAGCACCAUAAACUGUUCAUGUUAUUAAAAUAUCUUAUUUGUCAGUUUAACAUACAUGUUACAGUGCCCAGAUUAAAUAGGAGGGAGAACUCUUCAGACACAGACCAACCAAUCAAUUCACAUAUCUGUCAAAACAUUUCAUUAUCACCAGUUGAAAAUCAAAAGUAUAAAUAAUGAAGAAAAAAAAAAGUAUAAAAAGAAAAAAAUCUACUAGAUCUAUAACAGAUGAAGAAAAACCGGCAACACAAGGGAAAAUACAUUUGAAUAACUAUAGGUCGUCCUUUCGUAGAAUGUAGUCCAACCAAAUUAGAAUGUCACACAAGUAACCGUUGUCUGAUGAAGACUAGUUGCUUAUUGCCGAAUACCACUGUUGCCACAUGUUUCUUGUAGUUCAGCUACAAACAUUUUGUAUUAGCGGAGAGUAGGUUGCAGAUCAUUGAACAUUGUCCUUGACUCUUUCUAACUUUAUUGAAAAUUUGCAAACUUGCUUGGUUGAUGGCUAGUGGAUCACCUCGGUCAAAUUUAUUAAUUGGAAUAGGUGGGCCAUAAAAUUAUAAGGAAUUUAUUUGUUGCCUUUUCUAAACCAAUGAGCAGAGAAACAUCUUUCAGAGGACAUUUUCUUUAAAAUAUACUCUGUAUUGUUAGAUUGUUUCAGUCUAAAGUUGAAUUAUUAGGGAUUUAUUUGAUUUCUGCAAUGUGGGCAAGUCACACACCCUAUUUAUUUAAUAAUCAUGAUUGAUCUCGUUUAUAUUUUAGAAUUGUUGGACUGCAGAAGAGAUUCAACUCCUGGAUGCAAGUAUUGCCUUUGUUGAUAUAUUGUGCUAGACUGACCUUAAUGUAGAUGAUUGGGAGACCCACUGAAAAAGUUUUUUCCAGUUGUUACUCAAUUUAAAAGUACUUUCUGCAUGUGUGGCAUUCAGUUGGUAAAAUAUUUUAGUGUAUUUUAAUGUAAUAUUGCUUGAUGUUUCACACUCAAACUUGUCCAGUUUUAACUGAAGGCCCACCAUUCCAGGAGCCAGGUAAUGUUUCCUUGGGGAAAAAAAAAACACCCAGAUCAGACUGGGCUGACUCAAAGUAUACAGAGCAAUAUCUGGCCUACAGUUUGUACCCCAUUGGUGCCCCCAAAAAACACAAUCUAUUAUACUUCAAAGGGUUUAGAAAAGCGAACAUAGUUCCACUUCUUGGAGCAAAAUGUAAGAAACUGCUGUUGAAUAAUGAGUGAAAUAUUUGGGCAAUGGAGGAAUGGAAAGCUAUGCCUAAGUUGAUGAAUUGUUUUUUUUUUUUUCUUUCUGCUGUUUCAGAGCAGACUAGACUAUAGAGCAACCUCCAUAACUAUUCAACGCUGCGUUCCAAGGUGCUGGCGAUGGUUUAACAUUAUGCUGUUUUCAUAGCAGGCAAUGGGGGAGUAUACAUCAGUUUUCUGGAAAAAAAAAAAACAGUUAAAAGACGUCAUUAUUUUGGUUGGUUAUUUAUUAAAGUGAUAUUAAAAGUGCCAGUUUUUCUUCCAUAAUACAUUCCACCAGUUGCACAAAUUUCCAUUUCAGAAGGCCAUCAAAUUUCUAAAGUGGAAAAAUGUAUCCGCUUUUUCUGUUUGAAAUAUUCAUAAAUCUAGUGCAUUGGUAAAAAAAAUGACGGAAUUUCAAAAUGUUAGCUAAGCAACAGGUGAAAAAUCUGACAGGUUUGAUAAACCGAACCAAACAUUCUCCAAACAUUCACCAAAAAUUGGCCGGAAUUAUUCUGAGACAGUGUGAUUGUGUCUACUGAUAAAGACAGAGGUUUAGGGUAUCAAUGUGACAUGUUAUUUGUUCUGUGAAUCUGAUAAUCUGCUAAACAGCAGUAGCCAUCUUAGCCGCUAGGUAUCAUCAAUGAAGAAUCCGUUGGAUGUGACUUAGUGUAGUUUUUUCAAGAGACUCUAUAGGCACCCAGACCACUUUAGCUCAUUGAAGGGGUCUGGGUGCUGGGUCCCUUUUGCAUUUAGUGCUGCCAUGUAAAACAUUGCAGUUCCAGAGUAGUAGAAUAUUCACAUUGCAGCACAAAGUCGGCCUCCAGUAGCUGUCUCCCAGAACGUCCCCCAGACAGCCAUUGAAGGUGUACAAAGUUGUAUCCCUUUAAGUGUUCAUUUUUAUGUGCCCAUUUACGUGCUGAUUUGCUAUAUAAAACUAUUGUGGACUAUCAUGCCCAGGAACCUCAUGAAGCAGUUGAUUACGGUUAUGUCACAUAAUAAACAAGGGGUUGCCUUACUAUGCUGUUAUUUUAAAAAUGUUUUCUUUAUCUGUUAGGAGGUUUAUAAUUGUUAUCAUCUACAAGGAAAUCUGUAAGUUUUUUGUAUUCAUUUUUUAAUAUUGACAUUUCAAACACUUUAGUGUCCCCUUUGAAUCUCACUGUCUUACACCAAAUUAUGGAGCUUAUUGUUAAGUGGGCCAAUCCACUUUGUUUUUGUAGUCUAUGUGUUGAUUACAUGUAACCUUCCUGGUAAAAUGUUUUAUAAAUAAAUAAAUUCAACAGGGCUCUUCUGGAGUUUCCAGACAUACAUAACGUUUACAUAUAGUGCCUUGCCAAUUAUUAACCCCUUGCAUGUUUCCCCAUUUUUUAGUAUUUAAUUCUGGAUUGAAAAUGGAAUUAAAAACUAGAUUGCAAGACUGGUUACAGUGAGGGGUAGAUAAAUAGCCAUUACAGUUCCACAGACACGUUUAUUAUAUUUGGAUUUGAAAUCAAUAUCUGAAAAUGAAAGAUUAAAGAAAGUUUUCUACAUCAAAUUCUCCAAAAUGUUCACCAGAUCAAUGGAUUUUUAGCACUCUCAUGCUGGAAACAGAUAGAUUUAGAGGGUGGGGAAUGUUACCACGAUAUUGAUUCAUAGAUAAUACAUAUUAGAGUGUGUUUAGUUCUAUCUUUUCCCAUUUAUCUUACGUUUCUAAUCUUAUACGGCUAUUGCUUACUUCUAACCAUUUUAUUUGCUACACUUGUCAGUAUUCUCUAAAGAUUGUACAUGCAAGGUGUGGGUAAGCUUUGGAUUGGACAGGCUUAAAGGGACUCUUCCUGGCACUGCAGAACCCUGCAGGUCCCCUCUCCCUCCCACCCCCCAUCCCAUGUUGCUGAAGGAGUUAAAACUCCUUCAGUGACUUACCUGAAUCCAGCGCCGAUGUACCUCGGUGAUGGGUCAGGCUCUGCCCACGCUUCUCCCCAACCAACGCCAGCCAGCGAGGGAGACCUAAUGCGCAUGCGCUGCAAUGGCCGCGCGAGUGCAUUAGACCUCCUCAUAGGAAAGUAUUAUUCAAUGUUUUCCUAUGGGGAUUCCGGCGACGCUGCAGGUCCUCAUGCAUAGCGCGAGGACGUCCUGUGUCGCUUAGAACCCGGAAGUCCCUCUAUGGCUGUCUGAUAGACAGCCACUAGCUGAGAACUUAAUCCUGCAAGGUAAAUAUUGCAGUUUAUAAAAACUGCAAUAAUUACACUUGCAGGGGGUUAAGGAUGAUGGGAGUUCGCACACACAACACUCCAAUGGGCAGAAGUGGUCUGGGUGCCUGGAGUGUCCCUUUAACAAGCACAUCCUCCAAAUAUAGAGAAAUCUAAAUUAUAGUGAACCAACAAACCACAAUAACGAAUAACCGAGACCAACCAAGAACAAAAGCAGAGAGUCACCAAAUGAACGCACUAUUGGGUCAAAAAGGAACCAUAAAAGGUUGCAGUAUCAAACAAAAUUGCAGUUUAAAUAUGGAGACUAUAUUGUGUAUUAUUGAUCCCUGAUAGAUUAGGACGACAGCGCCCACCUUUUAAAAUAAAACAAAGCUUGGCAGUACACGUUAAAAUAUUUACACCCGGAUAAGCUAUUCUGCUGUGCAAUUUUUUUUUCUUUAACAAUUGGUGGAAGAAAACAAAACCGAACGCUAAGAUCUCACUCCGCAAUGUGUCUUUUAGUGUUUGUGACAGACAGAGCUAUGAUCUGGCUCUUGAAAUUAAGAUGUUGAAUGUGUGUGAGAAAGAGGCAAGGAGGGGGUGCAUGAGGUAGGCUGCAGGUUUUUUUUUUUUUUUUUUGGUUUUUUUAAUUCCUCGGGACAUUUAGUAACAUUUUGCUUGAGAAGGUUCUCUGUGCAACCCCCUCAAGGCUAAAGAAGAGUCUGAUCUCCCCCAUCGCUUCCUCUCUCUGGCAGCCUCCUUAGAAACAAUAAACAGCCAACCACUGUAUGCCUUAAAAGGCCGCAGCUCUGGCCAGGCUGUGCUUUCACAUGAGAAGAAUCCAGCCAGGCUGGGAGAAGGCUACAGGGAUCCUUAUAAGGUUAAAUUCUCAAACAUUGAAGAAGCAACAUUCAACUUGAAACAUACAGGGAAGGAGUAUGAGCGUGCCACCUAGUGGAAGAGAGGGGCACAAUGUCCCAAAAGUAAUCAUGCAUAAUCUGAUAUAAUUUCCACUCCAUACUCUCUCUCCCCCACCCUCUGUCUCUGGCAAUAUAAUGUUAUUCAGGGGUUCUGGAAACACCAGCGUAGACUAUGAGAAGGAAGGCUGAGUGUGGACAAGAUGGCAUAAUGUUCCCCUAAUAGACUUUAUUUUACAAAUAUAUAAAUAUAAUUACAUACAUUAAUGGGGUCAGGGUUACUGCAUUAUCUUACUGUGAUCUUACAAUUCAGUCUUUUCCAUUCGUGAUAUGGUGGCAGAGGAACCGGGGCGACAGCAUUAUCAGAAGCAUUAUCAGAAGAGGGAUGGCGCACUGGGAUAUGUCCUGGUACUACCCUGCAGUUAGUGCCUCCUGUCAUGCAAGCUUUCUGUUAAAUCGAACAUUACUGAGAAUAAUAUGUGGAUGGCGUCAUCCUCGGUGCAAUACAGGAUUUGAAAACAUAAUUUGCUGAUGGAAAUAAUGGAUCAUGUAGAAUUUCUGCGAGCCAUUAGGAAUGUGGAUCUUUAACUCAAAAUACUUUUUUAUUGUCCCAAACACCCUUACAAAUAAACAAGGAACCCCUGUGUUGAUGAUGUGAACUAUUGGUCUCUCUUUCUUGUCCCAAGAUUACUGGUCUCUUUUACGAAGAUUUGUAUUUUUGAUGCCAGACAUUUAACGUUGGCCUACAGCUCAAUUAUUUCUUAAUUUGCAAUGCUCUUGACCUACAGCAGACAAAAUACAAGAAUGAAGCUUGGCAGCAGCACUCCAGUCCAGAUGUUUUGUACACACAAAGUGUCUUUGUCAAGUAUAGACACACACUUUGUGUAUUGAAAUGUUACAAUGUCCACUUUGUUGUGUGCUUGGAUUGUGGUGUUGAAUUUCAUUCUUUAACGAUACUUUGGGAUCUAGCUGCAUUGUUACUUAUAUCUUGAGAUUCAUGAAUAUCCUUUACAAUAUUAAUAUAAUCGUAACCCCCAAAAUAGACAGGUCAUUAUAUAUUUUCCUUUAUAUGGAACAUAAAUUCUUAUUUCAGAUGAAGAUCUGUUGACCAUCACAAGUGCUAGAUGUUCUCAUUGAUUUCAUUUGGAUGUCAACUCUCCACUCAUCCGGGGCAUAGUGUUGGGAAAUCUUGGAAGCCAGGCACAGAGACGUUCACACCCUUGCAUUACCCCCUUACCAGAGACGAUCUGGAGUGGUACGUGUUCCAUGGCAGUAAGGAAAAACAUAAGUAGGAUGUUUUUCUGAAACAUGCGUGGUGUUCCAGCUGGCUGGCAUCGGUUGGGGAGGGAGACCUCUCUCUAGGCCUGGGGUAGACAACGCUACAUGACCCAUAAUGUUCUUAUAGUCAGCAUGUCGGCAAAGCUUCAGGGAAAAUGUAGUCCACAAAAUCUGGAGUGGGGUAGAUUGCCCACCUUUGGUCCAGGCUAAGUCAAUUCUGAUGAUCACUUCAGACAGUUUGGACUCAUCUUCAGUUUUACAAAAUACAGAUUAAAGAACAGCACACAUGUAAAAACACAGUUUUACAAUUUACAAGGCUACUUAAAAUCACCUAUCACAGCAAACAGAGAUGGGGAUUCAGUUCCACCAUAUGGCCAUAGAGACCUAGUCACUGAAGCUCUUUUAUACAGAGUUCUUAGCCAUGAUUAGAGCCUAGAGCAGGGAGAUGCAAUUCUUUUGGUACACCUCUGCUGGAGGAGGUGUGGAAAUUUUUUCCACUGAGUUGACCAGGCAGGGUAAACCCUAACCUUAGUCUGUUGUGAUAGCUGGACUAUUCUGCUUUCAUGGGCGUUUAAUGCAGGUCAGAGCAGGUGCCACCAAGUAUUUGUUAGCUAUCCCAUGAUCAAUAACGGGGGAGAAGAGGGGGGUGGAAAAAUAAAAGAUGGAAGAAGGGUCUAAGUGAGAAUCAUGUGGAAUGCUUAACUUUAGGCACUGGAAUAUUUGCUUAUAUUUUCUUGAGUUCACAUGGUGAAUGAAUUUGCACGGUGAUCCUUUGGCCAUUUUGGGGAACUGCUGUGUUAUCUAGCUGGUGCAAGUUAAUCUACUGAGGCAUCAAUGGAGGCAUUUGAGAAUGAGCAUUGAUGCUUUUAUCUUUAUUCCAGCCUCUUGUUCUAUUAAAUCAGUGCGCAGUGUGAGACCACAAACCAGAAGUGACAACCACAUCCUACGAGCAGGCUCUUGGGUUGCCAUUCCAGGUAAAAAUAAUAACAGCUAACUGCGAUGGCUUACGAAAUUUUGUUGAACACCUUCUGAUAAUUUCUACAACCCACAGAAAAUUGUUUAUACACAAUAAGUAAUUCUGAUUUUAAAUGCAAAUAAUAAAAUUGUGCAGCUUGUGUACUUAAAUAAAUCCAAGGAACAAGGAAAAUCUCCAAAGAUAGAUAGAUUUAUGUCCCUGUAAUGUUUGGGUCAAUCCAUAGUAUUAUACCUUUUGGCAUACUUUCAGAUUAUGCUGCACUCUUCUCUGUACUAUAUACAAGUUUAGAACUUAGCAGCCUCAUCAUUUUUUAGGAAUAAUAUAGUGUUUAUUCACCACUUCACUUUCAUGAAUUUUAGAUUUUUAUCAACUCAUCCUGUAAUUUAGAGAACAGAUCACAUAGGGAAAUGUUUCUUUGAGCACCAGAGUUGCUUGUUGAAUGAUCUAUUUUUGAAACAUUUUUGUGCCUCUCUAAGUUGAACCCUUGUUGAAACCUGGCAACAGUCACAGAGUGUUCAGAACUCACUAAGGUUCAAAGAUGAGAAUAACCAUGGUAAGUUUUAUACCAAACAUGGACUGCUUUGACCCUGAUUCUGCUUUCAAGAAUGCUUCAAACUCAAAGACUUAAUACAAUGUUUAUCAC
This 7552-nucleotide long non-coding RNA is filed under the name Pelobates cultripes (western spadefoot toad). The record is from RNAcentral. Lineage: Eukaryota; Metazoa; Chordata; Amphibia; Anura; Pelobatidae.